Non-coding RNA from Pimephales promelas (fathead minnow), 264 nucleotides. Lineage: Eukaryota; Metazoa; Chordata; Actinopteri; Cypriniformes; Leuciscidae. The record is from RefSeq and is a predicted model, not a curated record.
GCGUUGAGACUGAUGCUGGGAUGGAGAAUGAAACAGAACUGACAUAUCAUUCUCAUGAUGUGACGUCAAGUGAGCUAGGAUCUCCAGAGAGGACACGGAGGUCAUGAAAGUAACAACAGACAAUCAAGCAACUGUGUCACCAGCAAACGUCUGAUACUGACCCAGAAGAUGGUGUGGUGGUUCCAGAGAUCCAAUGCCCUUUAUCUGAACAGAGCCUUGCUGUCCUGCAGGGAUUAAUUGAUCCCCUGAAAUCAUCACUGAACU